Molecule: ribosomal RNA, 500 nt
Filed under: uncultured bacterium
Lineage: Bacteria
Description: partial 16S ribosomal RNA
Rfam family: Bacterial small subunit ribosomal RNA
Source: RNAcentral
AUUGAACGCUGGCGGCAUGCUUUACACAUGCAAGUCGAACGGUAACAGGGAGCUUGCUCCGCUGACGAGUGGCGAACGGGUGAGUAAUGCGUCGGAACGUGCCGAGUAGUGGGGGAUAACGCAUCGAAAGGUGUGCUAAUACCGCAUACGAACUGAGGUUGAAAGUGGGGGACCUUCGGGCCUCACGCUAUUCGAGCGGCCGACGUCUGAUUAGCUAGUUGGUGAGGUAAAGGCCCACCAAGGCGACGAUCAGUAGCGGGUCUGAGAGGAUGUUCCGCCAGACUGGGACUGAGACACGGCCCAAACUCCUACGGGAGGCAGCAGUGGGGAAUAUUGGACAAUGGGCGAAAGCCUGAUCCAGCCAUGCCGCGUGUGUGAAGAAGGUCUUCGGAUUGUAAAGCACUUUAAGUCGGGAGGAAGGGCUGUAGGCUAAUACCUUGCAGUUUUGACGUUACCGACAGAAUAAGCACCGGCUAACUUCGUGCCAGCCGCCGCCGUAA